ACACCUCAACCCUCGUGGUUCGCCACGAUCGGCUUGGACUUUGGAGGUUUUGCUGGCCCACUCCUGUGGUCGGCUCCUCUCAAAUGGAUCGGCUUUCCAGUGUUUGGUGGCGUUGCAGGUGUGAUAACUAUCUACGCUUGUGGCCGUCCACCAUGUAACCUUCGGCGACGAGGGUUCACCGGAGCUUACAGAUGUCUUCCUGAGCGAAGACGACUUUUUGAUC
This 223-nucleotide unclassified non-coding RNA is filed under the name uncultured Tomentella. RNAcentral describes it as "sequence contains ITS2". The record is from RNAcentral. Lineage: Eukaryota; Fungi; Basidiomycota; Agaricomycetes; Thelephorales; Thelephoraceae.